This 60-nucleotide transfer RNA is filed under the name Dipodomys ordii (Ord's kangaroo rat). It matches the Rfam family "tRNA". Rfam says of the family: Transfer RNA (tRNA) molecules are approximately 80 nucleotides in length. The record is from Rfam by way of RNAcentral. Lineage: Eukaryota; Metazoa; Chordata; Mammalia; Rodentia; Heteromyidae.
GGGAAGUUGGCUCAGUGGUAGAGUGCUUGCCUUGCAUGCAUGAGGCCCUGGGUCUUCCUC